Molecule: non-coding RNA, 3082 nt
Organism: Doryrhamphus excisus (bluestripe pipefish)
Lineage: Eukaryota; Metazoa; Chordata; Actinopteri; Syngnathiformes; Syngnathidae
Source: RefSeq, a predicted model, not a curated record
CAGCACUUUCACACUUUCACUCUUUUAUUCAAGCCUAACCUUUCCUCUCCCGGGAAUCACAGCGUCGCCAUUUUACGUCGUUUAUGGACGGACCAAAGGAGGAGGAAUGGGGUGAUUACACGUGAAUACGAAACGACAACAAUGGUGAUGAUCAUCAUCUUUGAGAUGUUUCUACGCCUUCAUUGCAGGCCAUCUGUGGUCAAUGAAACUGAUCGGUGAUGAUUGGGAAAGGCACACACCUGUCUAUAAGAGGUUUCUCUGGCAAUUCUUCUGGGAAAGGGUACAGCAAAGUUCUGCUGCUUCGAAGGUGGCCUCCAUCUUCUGCCAAUGAUGGUCCCCUCUGAGAAAGCUCCAGUUUUCCUCUGUGGAGAAUGGAGAAGCUUGUUGGCAUGAGAUUACAUCUACAGCUGGCAGAAUCUAUCUGGAGGGCAUGUGAUAUGAUACGUGAUAUCAUGACCCAGCAGCUGAGCUGCAGGAUGCCAAAUAAGGAGGAGGGCGGCAUGGAGGCCAUCAGUGAUGCUCCAUGGCGAAGCCAGCUGUCUGCCUGCCCUGGAGGAGGUCAACCCUGCUCACGACGAUCUUAGUACUCAAGUUCAAGGUAUUACUUUAGACUAUAGUUGGAAAUGAAUUCCUUUAUUAGAUGGAUGAGGCAAAGCAAAGUAUCCUCCAAGAUUCCUGAAUCCGUAAUGAAGGCAGCAAAUGGGAAUAAGCACCAUGUUUUAGUACUUAUUAUCAUACACGGGUGGCGAAUGUGUCUUGUCUGCCUCAAAUGAUGCUCUAUAAUGAUUAGAAUGAAUAUAAUAUAUAAUGAAUAUGAUGAGUAAUUUGUGUAAAAGUCAUGUACUGUCACAGGCAGGCAUGGCCGUGACCCCAGGAUGCAGACACAGGAACGUUGUGCAGGUAAAAGUAUAAUUUUAAUAAGGGUAGCAGUCCAACAGAAAACAAGCAAACAGGACAGGAAGUGAAUGAGAAAAUAAGAGUAUCCAAAGGGGAACUAAACUAGAAAGGGAACAGCAAAGGAAGCGAAGACAAAAUAAGAGCAUAGAUACAGGAAACAGAGGCAGAGCUGUCACAAGGGGGUGAAGCCACCUGAUCAAAAUAGCCUUUGGGUGUCUGGGCAUGCGAGUCUGCCCCCACAUAUGUGCUUUCUGAUAUGAACAUUUUAGCAUGAAUAGUCAGACAUUUUCUCUAGAAGCCAUAUGUUUAGGUAGUAUGGAUUUGCAUGCAAUGUUUUAUUACAGUGUACCUCUCAUUAUUGUCAAAUAACUCGUUUUUUAGUGAAUACUAAUCCAAGCUACAACAGAAAGAUACGUUUCCAUGAAGGUCCAGGGAACAGCAAAGGAAGUGGAGACAAAAUAAGAGCGUAGAUACAGGAAACAGAGGCAAAGGAGGAAAACACAGAGAGUUCUCACGAGGGGGUGAAGCCACCUGAUCCAAAUAGCCUUCGGGUGUCUGGGCAUGCGAGUCUGCCCCCACAUAUGUGCUUUCUGAUAUGAACAUUUUAGCAUGAAUAGUCAGACAUUUUCUCUAGAAGUCAUAUGUUUAGGUAGUAUGGAUUUGCAUGCAAUUUUUAUUAAAUUUUUAUUAAACCUCUCAUUAUUGUCAAAGAACUCGCUAAUCCAAGCUACAACAGAAUAUACGUUUCCAUGAAGGUACAGCCAUGGAUUUGUAUUUGCCAUCAGUGCUGGAAAAUAAAACCCAAAAGAUGCAGUCCCUGUGUCAGCCCUGACCAACAGACACCAGCGGCCCAGCAGAUGAAUUAUAUGUUAGGACUAAAUAAGUACAUUUUGACAAUUCCCCAUAGCGCACCUGACAAUAGGUCGCAUUUCUUCCAGUACAAUACAAACAACAGUAAAGUAAACGUGUGCUCCACUGUUGCGUACAGAAAUUAUUUUCAAGGUUUUGGAUCAGAAAGAAAAGCACAACAUUCAUCACGGUGCACAAUAGCUGAAAGCAUUUUCACUAUCAAAGCAUCUGUUCACUACAUUUGUGUGGUUGUAUGAUUGCAUUGUUGUAGCUGAUGGCCCGUCCAGGCAGGAAGGUAAUUGGGCCAGGACAGUGUAAUUCCAAACUGUCCACAUACAAGCCCGCUGGAAUGGACAUAGUGGUGUAUGUAAGAUGAAGGAAACUCAAAGAUUGCACUUAUUCGGCCUCCCGACCUUCCAGUGGGCUUUGCACAAUCCAGUUCUGAAGGAAAAGCACUGAAAAUAAAAGAAGAUUAAAAAACACCUGAUAAAACGUGUGUGCAAUGGGAACUAUGGCGGGUAACAGCUUGUAGUUCUCACAAAUCUACAAAAUCAUCAAAAGGAACAUCGUCAAGAAUAUCAGUAGGGGCGUUGUUCUUUCUGCAUGGAAAAGUUCUGUUGAUGAAGAUGACAAUGGCUGUGUUUCAAUUCCUUACACGUGCAGCCUUUUGUUAUUGAGAAAGCGAUUAUAAUGUCCUGGUUUUCACUGUUUUUCAUUAAAUUCAGCAGCAUUAGUGCACUCUGCUCCAUAGAACAGCCUCCCUGAGGGACUGCUAUGUGUUUGAGUGGAGCCAAGAAGCAGCAAAAAGCCAAAGAAGAAGCAAAGCUAUGUGCAAAGUCUCAGCAAAUUGGCGACACCAUGCACAACGGGAGCUAAAAGUACCAAUUUCUUACAACUUUAGAGGCCAUGUUUUUCCAAAAAAUCUUGGCUACUGUCACGGUGAGGCAUGUCAGUGUUGCGGUGCAAUGUUUAGCUUUAUUCCCCGAAAGCGAAUGCAGUACUGGCAUACAACACGCCGAAAUGAACAAUGCACCAACAAAAGGCAGACGCACCUGGCUGAACUAAAUACAACAAUCAAAUUACAAACAGGUGCAUGUAGAGAAAGUAAAAGUGACGGAACACAGGACAGACCAACACAGGAAAUAAUACAAAAUAAGAGCAUGAGAGUAGGAACUAAGGCUGACAAAGUGAAAACAAAAACUGUCACACAAGCAACGGUGCGGAUUGUGACAGCUACACUCCAAAAUGAACAAGAAUUCGACCUUAGUUUGUGUUGGUUUUUAAAUGUUGGAUAUGUUAAAUAUGUGUGCGUAUAUCGUAUUUUGGAAUAACACAA